UAACGCGGACCUAACGGAACCGCGGAGGCGGGGCCAUGGGGGCGCGGACCUGGCUCCCACUUGCGGCCCCUGCCCUGCCUGCCCUGUACUCUAGGUUGUGCGCAGACCCUCGCCGCCCUCGUCACGCCCCAGGCUGACCCCGGGAGAGCAGCGGCUGUCUGAGGAAAGGGACCGUCUGACAGACCCCACCGUCGCGGGGGUGCUGGGUCCCCGCAACGUCUUUGUGCCCACCGCCCACGGUGCACAUUUACAGGGAGAGGCAGGUGCCGCCAGAAGCCACCGGCAGGAAUCAGGAAACACUCCCCCGGUUCCCGUCUCCCUGUGAUAAGUCACAGCCCUCGUAAAGGAGCCGGACCCGGGCCUCAGGCUCGCCCCUUCACGUCUGUUUGCAGGCCCCCAGGAACCAGACGACCUUCCGUCUUCUCUGGUGCUGGCUGCUCAGUGGCCCGGCGCACGGCCUCCUCUGACGGUGACAAUUACAGGUCUGAGUCACUGCGGGCGGAACACGAUGUCUAUAGGGCUCCCGCUGGCUGGGGCUGUCCACCCUCACCCCUGAGGGAAGCUGGUGCGGGGACCUCGUGCUCACACCCGAGCCUUCGGGCAAACCUGGCCGUCAGGAGCCUACCAGCCAGACCGGCCACACCAGGGUCUGACCUGAGCCAAAGCGGUGCUCGGCCAUGACUCUGGAGUUGGGGGUCACAUGUCUCCACCAGGAGUACGGCCGGACCUUCAUUUCGGCACACCGGCCAAGAGGGCCGUCUGCUCUUUUCUGCCAAUAAACAUUACCCGUGGAAGUCACUUAGCUCUGACUCCCAGGCGUCCGGGAGCCAAAUUCUUGCUAUUACACAACCUACUGAUAGGAGAUAACAAAGCGGUACGUGCUGGAGUUUACAGAUAGCAGGAAAACAGAGAUUACUCUUGGGGCGGUUACUACCUGCAGAAAGCAACUACCCACAUAUAUAACGCUUUUGUUCAUGACGCGUGCUUUAUAAACAUUAUUUUACUGGAGUACGUGCUCAAAGAAGAUUAAAGUAAAUAAACAAA
This is a long non-coding RNA of Leopardus geoffroyi (Geoffroy's cat), 1044 nucleotides long. RefSeq lists it as uncharacterized. NCBI's taxonomy places the organism in Eukaryota, Metazoa, Chordata, Mammalia, Carnivora, Felidae. The record is from RefSeq and is a predicted model, not a curated record. The transcript is spliced from 2 exons.